This 254-nucleotide ribosomal RNA is filed under the name uncultured bacterium. Its description in RNAcentral is "partial 16S ribosomal RNA". It matches the Rfam family "Bacterial small subunit ribosomal RNA", at positions 524 to 777 of the family's 1533-position model. The record is from RNAcentral.
UACAGAGGGUGCAAGCGUUAAUCGGAAUUACUGGGCGUAAAGCGUGCGUAGUCGGUUAUCUAAGUCGGGUGUGAAAUCCCCGGGCUCAACCUGGGAAUUGCAUUCGAUACUGGAUAGCUAGAGUUCGGCAGAGGGAAGCGGAAUUUCGGGUGUAGCGGUGAAAUGCGUAGAUAUCCGAAGGAACAUCAGUGGCGAAAGCGGCUUCCUGGACCAGAACUGACGAUCAGGCACGAAAGCGUGGGGAGCAAACAGGG